GACUUAGUCCUAACCUUACUAUUGGUUUCUACUAGACAUAUACAUGCAAGUAUCCGCACUCCAGUGAAAAUGCCCUCGAGCUUUAACCCUUUUUCCCAAGCAAAAGGAGCAGGUAUCAGGCACACCCAGCAGUUAGCCCAAGACGCCUUGCUAAGCCACACCCCCACGGGUAUUCAGCAGUAAUUAACCUUAAGCAAUAAGUGUAAACUUGACUUAGCCAUAGUAGCACUAGGGCUGGUAAAUCUUGUGCCAGCCACCGCGGUCAUACAAGAAGCCCGAAUCAAUAGCCAUCCGGCGUAAAGAGUGGCCAUAUGCUAUCCACACCAACUAAGAUCGAAAUGAAACCAAGCUGUCAUAAGCCCAAGAUACACUUAAGCCCAAUCUAAAACUAUCUUAGACCGUGCGACUAAUUUUAACCCACGAAAGCCAGGACACAAACUGGGAUUAGAUACCCCACUAUGCCCGGCCUUAAAUCCAGAUACCUGUACACCUACUUACGUAUCCGCCCGAGAACUACGAGCACAAACGCUUAAAACUCUAAGGACUUGGCGGUGUCUCAAACCCACCUAGAGGAGCCUGUUCUGUAACCGAUAAUCCACGAUUCACCCAACCACCUCUUGCCAACACAGCCUAUAUACCGCCGUCGCCAGCUCACCUCUAAUGAAAGAACAACAGUGGGCCCAACAGCUCCCCGCUAACAAGACAGGUCAAGGUAUAGCCCAUGAGGUGGGAGAAAUGGGCUACAUUUUCUACCAUAGAACAAACGGAAAAGAGCAUGAAACUUAGCUCUUGGAAGGAGGAUUUAGCAGUAAAGUGAGAUCACCCUAAGCCCACUUUAAGAUGGCCCUGGGACACGUACAUACCGCCCGUCACCCUCUUCAAAAGCUACCAACCCCAAUAAAUAAUACCCACCCAAAGCUAAAGACGAGGUAAGUCGUAACAAGGUAAGUGUACCGGAAGGUGUACU
This 967-nucleotide non-coding RNA is filed under the name Tetraogallus tibetanus (Tibetan snowcock). Its description in RNAcentral is "partial 12S ribosomal RNA". It matches the Rfam family "Bacterial small subunit ribosomal RNA". The record is from RNAcentral. Lineage: Eukaryota; Metazoa; Chordata; Aves; Galliformes; Phasianidae.